AUUUUCUGUAUGGUUUCCUAGAAACAAACCUUUGGCUCAACUUACCCCACUCUCCCCUACAGUAAAUAGCCUGAAGUUAAGGAAUGUAACCGUAUUUUUUCAACCUUAAAGUAAGCAACACAUCCAUGGCCACAAUUUGAGGUUACUGUUAGUAGCAUACCACCCUGCAUACCACUGCUGGCUUGCUUCUGAAGCUAAGCAGGGUUGGUCCUGGUCAGAUGCUGCUGGAAGUGGUGUUGGAGGGCCAGUAGGAGGCACACUUUCCUCUGGUCUAAAAAAGAUCCCAUUGCCCCAGGGCAGUGAUUGGGGACACUGCCCUGUGUAGGGUGCUGUCUUUUGGAUGAGAUGUUAAACGGGUUUCCUGACUCUCUGAGGUCAUUAAAGAUCCCAUGGCACUUAUUGUAAGAGUAGGGGUGUUAAACACCGGUGUCUUGGCUAAAUACCCAAUCUGGCCCUCAAACCAUCACGGUCACCUAAUAAUCCCCAGUUUACGAUUUUCUCAUUCAUCCCCCUCCUCUCCCCUGUAAAUAUUCCUCAGGUCGUUGCUGUAAAUGAGAACGUGUUCUCAGUCAACUUACCUGGUAAGAUAACGGAUAAAUAAAAAAUAUAAAUAAAUAAAUGUCUUAUGUAAUCAUAGAAAGAGUGCAUGUUCAAGAUAGCAUGCUACGGUUGUAGGUCUGUAGAGACAAUUGCAAACAUAAUCUGUGCAGAAUCUCAAACAGCAUUGAUCACUUGCACCAUGUGUAUACUUUUAAUGUCAUCUCAACAGCAAUCCAGGUCAUUUGGUUCUGCUGUUAGAUGAAGCACAGUGAUAACACAUUGAUGUUGUUGUAUAAAAAAAACGAAAUAACUGACAUUGUAUUCCCAUUUUAACUUUUUGUGCCUUUAAAUGGUUGAAAGCGCAGUGAUAACACAUUUAAGUGACAAAUACACCAAAAUUCAGACAUCGUUUUUCCAUUGGAAUUUGGUUGUGUUUUUAGAUGUUUGAAAGCAUUGUGAAACACAUUGUGAAUUCAAAAACCAUUUGCCUAGGUGACUAUAGGCUGUAAUCUCAUUGAUCUCAACGUCUCAACCAAAUAUUACCCAACUGUCCACGUUGAAAUGACGUGAUGUGCCCAAUGUGUAACAUUUUUCAAUACUGUAUUCUCUCAUUACAAUUUACACAUCAAACCCCAACCCACGCCCUCUUUAACCGGGCUCACUUUUAAGUGCAAUUAUUCUCUGCUUCCUCAAUGGCUCUGGAAUGAAAAAAGUGAAUUAGUAACCGCUGUGAUGACAGAUUUUCCUAUUAAAAAUGAGCCCAAAAGUAUGAAUAGAGCAGAUUUGCUUGGAAUGGAUUGACUGUGAAUGUCAAAAGCACUGUGGUUUUCUUCCUGCUGUGUCUGAAGUUGAGCGAGAGUACUUCCUUUUUAAGUGAAUUAAUUCCUUGAAUUAAACUGCCUGGUCUUUCGGACCCUCUUUGCCCUGAAAGAGCAGCUUAGCUACUGUGACUUUGUUCACAUUGUGAACAACAACAAAAAGUGCAUCAAACUUUCAUCCCCAGAAACUUUCCUGUGGAGGUAAAAGUCUUCUUUCUAUGUUGGUCUGCGUCUGUCUUUCUCUCUGUCCAUCUCUGUCUCUCUCGUCUUCUCUGUCGCUGCCUCUCUAUCUCUCUCCCGUUCGCUCUCUCUCUGUCGAGAGUUACACCUUGUAUCCUAUGCUCUUUAAUUCAAAUGUUCAGGGUUUCAACCCUGAGCAUAUUUUUAUAACGCAUUGGCGAGAGACCCCCCCCCCCCCGAACACUGGUCUGGUCUGGCGGGGCCAUCGACUGGUCUCAGAGAGUGAAUAUCUGUUGCCUGGCAACAAAACACAGGUCACCUUGUCAGCUAAUGCUUAAAUCUAUCCAAUUUAGUACCGAGAGAGCUCCUAUAGAUGUUUCAGUCAUUGAACAUGCACUGUUCUAUCGCUGACAUUUUGUUGUUGUCAUUGAUGUCAGCACACAGAAUGUAUGUGUUCAGAUAUAUUUUUAUGGCUACUGAAAUCAUCCCUGACCACAAAUUACUUUAGAUUCUGGGAGUUUUUGUUGCGAUUGCAGCCCAUUUCGUUAUCAUUUCCCUCAAUGAAAUGGCUACAUGCUGCGGAAAUAUGUAUCAAGACUAUAUAUCUCAGCCACCUGUCCAGAGGUACUUUAGUGUAAAAAAAAUACCACAAUUUAUGUAAGAUUAUAUACAUUAGUGAUGAGUAACUCCCAGCGCUUCUGUCUUUCAGUAACAAUAACCGUUCAAAUGAAUGUACAUACAAUCUAAACUGAUCUCACAUUGGGAGGUGAGAAAAACAAUGUUUUUGUUUUCUGUGAUUAAAAAAUCAAGUCUCAAUUUUGCCCCAAGUGUGCAUGGUGUUGUGAUGGCGUUGGAUUUGAUUUAUUCAUCGUAUCUUAUUUACAGUGUUGAGUAAUUCAACUACAUUUUGCAGUAUUUUGAUGAUAGUUUAAUUAAAUUCAAAUCUUGGUGUGUUCAGUAGUUAAUUACUUGUUAGCCAUGUAGCGGUCUAGCUAACUACUGGAACUACAGACUACUUAUUUUUGCAAAAAGAUCAUUCAAUAUGCGUGAAAUAUGCAAUUAUUUCCUUUUUCGGCAUCAGACCUGCCUUAUUCUCACUGGAAACAGUUUUGUGUUUAAUAGUGUAAAUUACACAUUCUGUUAACACCUGAAGUCCCACCCUGGCCAUAGAGAGGCUUUUAUUCUCUAUUUUGGUUAGGCCAGAGUGUGACUAGGGUGGGCAAUCUAGUUUCUUUAUUUCUAUGUUUUCUAUUCCUUUGUUUUUGGCCAAGUGUGGUUCCCAAUCAGAGGCAGCUGUCUAUCGUUGUCUCUGAUUGGGAAUCAUACUUAGGUAGCCUUUUCCCCACCUGUGUUUUGUGGGUAGUUGUUUUCUAUAGUUUAUUUGCCUUACAGAACUGUUUGUUUUUCUCUUUAUUUUGUUCGAGUGUUUUUUGAGUAAUAAAGAAUCAUGAACACUUACCACGCA
Molecule: long non-coding RNA, 3003 nt
Organism: Oncorhynchus tshawytscha (Chinook salmon)
Lineage: Eukaryota; Metazoa; Chordata; Actinopteri; Salmoniformes; Salmonidae
Source: Ensembl